GACGAACGCUGGCGGCGUGCUUAACACAUGCAAGUCGAACGGAGCGAAUGAAAGCUUGCUUUUAUAAGCUUAGUGGCAAACGGGUGAGUAACACGUAGGCAACCUGCCGACAGGAUGGGGACAACAUUCCGAAAGGAAUGCUAAUACCGAAUGAAGUCGAGGGAGGGCAUCCUCCUCCGAUGAAAGAUGGCCUCUAUAUAUAAGCUAUCACCUGUCGAUGGGCCUGCGUCUGAUUAGCUGGUAGGUGAGGUAACGGCUCACCUAGGCGACGAUCAGUAGCCGGUCUGAGAGGAUGAACGGCCACAUUGGGACUGAGACACGGCCCAGACUCCUACGGGAGGCAGCAGUGGGGAAUCUUCCGCAAUGGGCGCAAGCCUGACGGAGCAACGCCGCGUGAGUGAAGAAGGUCUUCGGAUCGUAAAGCUCUGUUGAUGGGGACGAAACGUGCCUAAAUGCGAAAUAGUAUUAAGGUAAAUGAACGGUACCC
This 487-nucleotide ribosomal RNA is filed under the name Centipeda noxia. RNAcentral describes it as "bacterial SSU rRNA". It matches the Rfam family "Bacterial small subunit ribosomal RNA", at positions 28 to 480 of the family's 1533-position model. The record is from RNAcentral. Lineage: Bacteria; Bacillati; Bacillota; Negativicutes; Selenomonadales; Selenomonadaceae.